RNAcentral lists this ribosomal RNA (164 nucleotides) under Ficus hederacea. RNAcentral describes it as "5.8S ribosomal RNA". It matches the Rfam family "5.8S ribosomal RNA". From Rfam's summary of the family: 5.8S ribosomal RNA (5.8S rRNA) is a component of the large subunit of the eukaryotic ribosome. Lineage: Eukaryota; Viridiplantae; Streptophyta; Magnoliopsida; Rosales; Moraceae. The record is from RNAcentral.
AGAACGACUCUCGGCAACGGAUAUCUCGGCUCUCGCAUCGAUGAAGAACGUAGCGAAAUGCGAUACUUGGUGUGAAUUGCAGAAUCCCGUGAACCAUCGAGUCUUUGAACGCAAGUUGCGCCCGAAGCCAUCAGGACGAGGGCACGUCUGCCUGGGCGUCACAC